RNAcentral lists this ribosomal RNA (206 nucleotides) under uncultured bacterium. RNAcentral's name for it is "partial 16S ribosomal RNA". It matches the Rfam family "Bacterial small subunit ribosomal RNA", at positions 568 to 774 of the family's 1533-position model. The record is from RNAcentral.
CGCGUAGGCGGCCUUCUAAGUCAGACGUGAAAUCCCCAGGCUUAACUUGGGAACUGCGUCUGAUACUGGGAGGCUUGAGUGCGGGAGAGGGAUGUGGAAUUCCAGGUGUAGCGGUGAAAUGCGUAGAUAUCUGGAGGAACACCGGUGGCGAAGGCGGCAUCCUGGACCGACACUGACGCUGAGGCGCGAAAGCCAGGGAGCAAACG